This 363-nucleotide transfer-messenger RNA is filed under the name Escherichia coli. It matches the Rfam family "transfer-messenger RNA". Rfam says of the family: Bacterial tmRNA, also known as 10Sa RNA or SsrA, is named for its dual tRNA and mRNA-like properties. The record is from RNAcentral. Lineage: Bacteria; Pseudomonadati; Pseudomonadota; Gammaproteobacteria; Enterobacterales; Enterobacteriaceae.
GGGGCUGAUUCUGGAUUCGACGUGAUUUGCGAAACCCAAGGUGCAUGCCGAGGGGCGGUUGGCCUCGUAAAAAGCCGCAAAAAAUAGUCGCAAACGACGAAAACUACGCUUUAGCAGCUUAAUAACCUGCUUAGAGCCCUCUCUCCCUAGCCUCCGCUCUUAGGACGGGGAUCAAGAGAGGUCAAACCCAAAAGAGAUCGCGUGGAAGCCCUGCCUGGGGUUGAAGCGUUAAAACUUAAUCAGGCUAGUUUGUUAGUGGCGUGUCCGUCCGCAGCUGGCAAGCGAAUGUAAAGACUGACUAAGCAUGUAGUACCGAGGAUGUAGGAAUUUCGGACGCGGGUUCAACUCCCGCCAGCUCCACCA